RNAcentral lists this long non-coding RNA (1169 nucleotides) under Homo sapiens (human). RNAcentral's name for it is "HSALNT0391041". Lineage: Eukaryota; Metazoa; Chordata; Mammalia; Primates; Hominidae. The record is from RNAcentral.
AGCAGUCAGGAAGCAGCACUGGCGGUGGGGGGAAGGACAUAGAAACGUCUGCGAAUGAAUCCAAACUCAAAAAUUGUUCUCCAAUGUCAUAGGAGCAGCAGGCCUGGCUCCUGCCCAGGAGGCACCUGGCCUAGAUCUCAGCGUCACUGCGGAGUUAACCAAGGGAAGCGGCACCAGCAUCACACCCUGUUCCAGCCAACAGUCUCCAGCGUCCCUGACAGAUGUCGGGAAGUUCUUUUCCCCGUAAGAUCCCGGAGAAUGUCCUGAGGCUGCCGUGUGGAAGCUCUGGGGCCUUUCUCGUCUCCCACUGCCAGCUUAAUGAGCUGUGCUGGUAGCAACAGAUGGCGCCCCGCAGGGUCUCACUUGGAUAGCUUGGAAAGUUCCUGGACACCAGUUGGACUUGCCGCGAAAACCAUUAAUCUGGCCUUUCAGAGAAAAUCUUCAGAAGAAUGUAUUUGCAAGAAUCUCAGGUCUGACAUGGAAGAAGUUUUGAUGACUUACUGCCAACUUUGUAUCACCCCCAAAAUGCUUUAGAGAAAUAUCUCUCUACAGAGGAAAGCAAGGAACUGUGACUUUAACUAGUGAAUUGGAUCAACGUGUCCAGCUAAUUCAGCCAGAUUGCUGCACAACUGAUUCCACUUCUGCAGCAACUGCCAUCCAUCACCAGGACUGCUCUGCCUGGGGACAGCCAGGCCACAGCCCUGCUGACGUCUGCAUGGGUCUUGGACGUGGUCUAGGGCCAGAACGCAGUGAUGAAGCUGGUGGUUUGUAGAGGCUUUUACUACAAGUAACAUCCCUCAUUUGAUGAAAUAGAUAUCUUUCUGCCAACUUGGCUCUGUCACUGAAACCUGGUGUUUUUGUCUGGUAAUUCUUCAAAUUUGAUGUUUUAAAGAAUGUUAAGUGAAUUAAUUCCUCCUUUUUGUCAGUGCUAUAAGUUCCAUACAGAGUUUGCUCAGUCUGAAGUACAUCUGUAUUAAUUAGACAAACUAAAGCAUUGGGUGGAUCUAAACGGUUCCUUUUAAUGAUUUUUCUCCACGAUGACAAGGCACACUAUACAAACAACCACCUGAUUUUAGCAAGAGGGCUAAAAAUUAUAUUGCAUAAAUGGAGUUGCAUUAUUUAAACUUAAAUUCAGGCCAGGUGCGGUGGCUCACGCCUGUAAUCCUAGC